GCCCCCAUCGUCUAGUGGUCCAGGACUCCUGAACCUCAUUCAGGAGACAGCGGUUCGAAUCCGCUUGGGGGUA
RNAcentral lists this transfer RNA (73 nucleotides) under Verrucomicrobiota bacterium. Its description in RNAcentral is "Verrucomicrobia bacterium tRNA-Glu". It matches the Rfam family "tRNA". From Rfam's summary of the family: Transfer RNA (tRNA) molecules are approximately 80 nucleotides in length. The record is from RNAcentral. Lineage: Bacteria; Pseudomonadati; Verrucomicrobiota.